CGAGGAUCAUUUGCAAUGGGCGAAAGCCUGACAAUGCGACGCUGCGUGGAGGAUGACGGCCUUCGGGUUGUAAACUCCUGUCAUUUGGGAACAAGUCCGGGCCGGGGAUAAUCCGGUUCGGGUUGAUAGUACCAGAAGAGGAAGUCACGGCUAACUCUGUGCCAGCAGCCGCGGUGAUACAGAGGUGGCAAGCGUUGUUCGGAUUUACUGGGCGUAAAUGGUGCGUAGGUGGUUUUGCAUGUCAGAUGUGAAAGCUUAUCGCUCAACGGUGAAAGUGCAUUUGACACUGCAGGACUAGAGUACAGGGGAGGAGAGUGGAAUUCUUGGUGUAGCGGUGACAUGCGUAGAUAUCAAGAAGAACACCGGUGGCGAAGGCGACUCUCUAUCCUGAUACUGACACUGAGGCACGAAAGCUGGGGGAGCAAACA
This 428-nucleotide ribosomal RNA is filed under the name uncultured bacterium. RNAcentral describes it as "bacterial SSU rRNA". It matches the Rfam family "Bacterial small subunit ribosomal RNA", at positions 356 to 774 of the family's 1533-position model. The record is from RNAcentral.